ACCUGGGUGGCUCAGUCGGUUGAGCGCCUGACUUCCGUUCAGGUCCUGAUCUCGCGGUUCGUGGGUUCAAGCCCCGCAUCAGGCU
This 85-nucleotide transfer RNA is filed under the name Felis catus (domestic cat). It matches the Rfam family "tRNA". Rfam says of the family: Transfer RNA (tRNA) molecules are approximately 80 nucleotides in length. Lineage: Eukaryota; Metazoa; Chordata; Mammalia; Carnivora; Felidae. The record is from Rfam by way of RNAcentral.